RNAcentral lists this ribosomal RNA (511 nucleotides) under uncultured archaeon. Its description in RNAcentral is "bacterial SSU rRNA". It matches the Rfam family "Archaeal small subunit ribosomal RNA", at positions 408 to 922 of the family's 1478-position model. The record is from RNAcentral.
UACCCAGUCUAGAAAGCUGGGGGAAUAAGGAGAGGGCAAGUCUGGUGUCAGCCGCCGCGGUAAUACCAGCUCUCCGAGUGGUGUGGAUGUUUAUUGGGCCUAAAGCAUCCGUAGCUGGCUAAGUUAGUCCCCUGUUUAAUCCAACGAAUUAAUCGUUGGAUCGCGGGGGAUACUGCUUGGCUAGGGGACGAGAGAGGCAGACGGUAUUUCCGGGGUAGGGGUGAAAUCCUAUAAUCCCGGGAAGACCACCAGUGGCGAAGGCUGUCUGCUAGAACGCGCCCGACGGUGAGGGAUGAAAGCUGGGGGAGCGAACCGGAUUAGAUACCCGGGUAGUCCCAGCUGUAAACGAUGCAGGCUAGGUGUUUGGACGGCCACGUGCCGUUCUAGUGCCGCAGGGAAGCUGUUAAGCCUGCCGCCUGGGGAGUACGAUCGCAAGAUUGAAACUUAAAGGAAUUGGCGGGGGAGCACCACAAGGGGUGAAGCUUGCGGUUUAAUUGGAUUCAACGCCGGG